Molecule: long non-coding RNA, 615 nt
Organism: Synchiropus splendidus (mandarinfish)
Lineage: Eukaryota; Metazoa; Chordata; Actinopteri; Syngnathiformes; Callionymidae
Exons: 3
Source: RefSeq, a predicted model, not a curated record
GAUCAGACGGACACCGGGUCAGACGAAGAUGCCGCCGUGUUCAAUAAUGGAGGAUGCAAGAUGAAGUGAAGUGAUCAAAUGUAUCACGUUCACACACAUAUCUGAGGAGAAACUCUCAGAUUGGAUGUUUCCACACGUCCAACCGGACACUGUGAAACCAAGCAAUUAGCCCGUGCUGACAGCCAGCUCGCCAGUUAACUCUGUGAAUGAAAACUCAUGGCUCCAGCUCUUCAGAGCUGCCCGAGCAUCUGCGCAUGGUCCUCAAGUACCAAGUUGAAAAGUUCAGCUCCCAUUUCCAGGAAGCUCCUGCUCUUCUCAUUGAGGCCCAAUACAAUGUGGCCCAAAGACUGGGGCUUUAAAUACAGACGCCAAGUGUUUUUUUUUUAACCUUGUGUGUGUGUGUAGGGUCCUUCAGCACUCCAGCUCUUUAUUAACAGGCCUGUGGACAUUAAUGGGCCACAAAGACGCUUUCUCUCCAACGUAAACAAAGAAUUAUGUCAUCAAUGUGAUCUUUUAAUGACACAAGAGGGACGCCUAUUGUAAUAUUCAUACCGUGUACUGUACAUGAGGUCAAAUUAAAUGUUCAUUGGGCCUCAAGUUGAGGACACUGGCCUC